GACUCAUCCUCCUUGACCCCAAAAAGCUCAGCUCCCCUGGUCUCCCAGCCACAUGCUACAACAUUGUUGGGGUGUCGAGGUGAGCUUGGACUCCAACUUCGGUAAUGUCACUGGUUAUAGUAGUGGCAGCAAAGUUUGCAAGGGAUUGGUUGUGCUCUGUCCAGAGCCGAGUGAGACCAGCUGGCUUCCCUUAGUUUGCGGCAGAAAUUAUAAAAAAAAGCUGCUGCCUGGAUUGUGCUGUUGCACAGGGUAAGGAAACAGCCCCUUUCCUAUCUCAGCAAACAUUUCUGGUAAAUUAUUAUUAGUAUUAUUAAUGAGUUUGUAUUGAACUGCAUUAACUCUUCAUUGAACGGUUUGUUUUCUACUUGACUGAUAUGCCACUAUGUUUUUUAGCUCUGGUUCUAUGGAUGGAAAUACGGUCUCGUCUACUUCGUUGUUCAGCUUUGUUGUUGGGAGAGCAGCAUGCAAAUACUAAAUCAAAAUCAGCACCUGAAAGAAAAGCAUCAGAAAUGGCACCGAAGGGGCAAAGGGCAUUUCUCAGUGGGUGGGGAAGGAGAGGAGCAUGUGAAGAGUAACCACACGUGACUAGAAAGAAGGAGGCGAGUGAGAACUGACAGUUUGGCAAGUUCAUCACCAGGCAAAUGUUUGCUUUUCUUUUUCUUUUUCAGACGAUGGGGGCCUUCUGAACCGACUAGCAAAGCUGGCCGUAAUCCAAAAGACUGUGUUGUCAUGAAGAAAGGAGAGAACCAUAAGUGGCGUAAUGGCUCGUGCAACUCCACCAAUCUGUUUAUUUGUGAAAAGAGCAUGCAGCUUGCCUGUGUCUGGCAGGCUUUUCAUAGUUCUCACUGAACAAUCUUCUGUUUGGUAUUGGUGUACAUCCUCAGUCAGUUACAGAAUGCUAUGAACAAAUGCUAUAGAUCAGUUUAUUGCUCUGGAUCUGGUGUGGGUGUGUGCCCACUCAUGAGAAUCCUUCCAGAAGGGUACUCCAAAUCACACAGCCAUCUAUUAUUGCAGCAGCAACAGGCCACACAACAGAGACACAAACAUGGAGCCCACACAGCCAUGAUCUCCUACAUCCUACAUAGGUGUGACUUUGCCCCAAAGGCAAAACGAGUCACAUCAGAAAGGGCCAUACAGUGGUGCCUCGCAAGACGAAAUUAAUCCGUUCCGCGAGAGUCUUCGUCUAGCGGUUUUUUCGUCUUGCGAAGCAAGCCCAUUGACGGAUUAGCGCUAUUAGCGCUAUUAGCGGUUUAGCGGCUAUUAAAGGCUUAAAGGCUUAGGGGAUUAGCUGCUAAAAGGCUAUUAAAGGCUAUUAAAGGCUUAGCAGAUUAGAUAAAGGGGGGGGAAAGCGAAAAAAAAAAUCUCAAGACUCGCAAGGUAUUUUCGUCUUGCGAAGCAAGCCCAUAGGGGAAUUCGUCCUGCGAAGCAACUUCAGAACGGAAAACCCUUUCGUCUAGCGGUUUUUCCGUCUUGCGAGGCAUUCGUCUUGCGG
Non-coding RNA from Podarcis lilfordi (Lilford's wall lizard), 1492 nucleotides. The record is from the annotation of a GenBank genome assembly. NCBI's taxonomy places the organism in Eukaryota, Metazoa, Chordata, Lepidosauria, Squamata, Lacertidae.